AGGGAUAUGGGAGGGAGAAAGAAUUUGGAGAGACUAAGAACUUACGUGGGCGGGGUUGUCUAAUGCGCUUGCGCAAAAUCUUUGGUCGCUGUGUAAUGACGACCUAAUUAGAGGAUGGGUUAAACUUUGGUCUCUUGUUUCGAGGUUUCUUUCUUCCUACGGAAUACUGAGGAGGAUUGGAGGGAGGGGAUGUAAAAACCUCCAUGGUCUACUCACUGGGUGGUAGAUGGUCUCCCAGCUCUCUCUCAGGACUCCCCAGUGAUUGGCACUGGAAGACUUCUUGUUCAGGCAUAAAAAUGUAAGAAGAGCCCAGCUGGAUGAGACCAAUCGAGUUCAUUAUCCUGUUUUCCACAGCGGCCAACCGGAUGCCUCUAGGAAGCUCACAAGGACGACAUGAGCACAGUAGCUUUCUCCUAAUAGCUGUUCUCCAGCAACUGCUAUUCAGAGGCCAGACCAGCGGAACAACACGGCUGCUUGCCCACUCACCCAUUUUGAAUUUUGCUGGUGUCUUUGAAAAUAUACAGCAGAAUAUUUUUCUAAGGCACUGGAGCCUGUAGCUGUCUAGUUUAUAAUGAACCAAACUGUGGAAUAUCCUUGGUGCCGUCUUUCUACAGCCCCAAAGGCCCAGAGAGUGUACUGCUCGUGCUCCUGUUUCCAGGAAGUACAGUCAUGCCAUGUAAUAUGUAGAAUUUGUUCUCAUUACCUGUUUAUUUAUUAAAUUUCUAUCCCCCCCUUCCUCCCAGAAGGUGCACAGGGUGGCAUGAAUUAAUGAAUAUCUAAUCGUUAGAUUCCAGAGGGAUAAAAUUCACUAUGUCAAAGGUGCACAGCAGAUGCACUUAACAGUCAACCAAUUAGUUGUGCUUUUUCAAAAAAUGGCAGAAGGGAAGAAAGGAUUACUUACAACCUUUCCCCUCCAGCCAUUUUUCUGUUCAAAAUUCUGUGCAGCUACUUUUCCAGCUGUGGGAGGAAAAUAUAGCAGCUGGGAAGGAGGGGGAUUUGAGUGGGGAAUGGCCAAGCGAAAGGGAUUAAGCUGCCCCCUUCACUAUUCCUCUCCAUAGUUGUUUUUCAUUAGGAUAUUCAUUCAUGCAUGCAGUUCAUUCCAUUCAUUCUUAGGAGACUCUUGCAUAUGCCUGCUGUCAAAUGUUUGGCCCAAAUACUGCUCUCAAGGUUUAAAGUGCCAGAUGUUAUAUGUUCAACUCUAAAUUCAUAAGCACCUAUAAAUUCUCUGAAAAAUGCAGCACAGCAAAGGCUAAGUCUUGAAUUGCUAUUACCAAGGGGGUCACUAUAAUCAGGUUUCACGGCAUGCUCUCUUCUUAACACAAAAUAGCCCAGAGAGUGUGCUAGCACAAUCUUAUCUGUUUUGAUUUGGAUCAAGAGAUGCUUUAACUUCUUAUUACCACUGAAAAGCUUCAGAAUCUGCAAUUUCAUCUAUGCCCAUCAUAAUUGCUUUGCUUGGAGAGACAGACUCCUUUGCAUUGUGUCGCUGUGAAAAUUCAGACAUAGGCCUGAACUAUUUUUUAGCUGAGCAAGAUUAACUCCGUGCCCUACUCCCUUCCUGUUAUAUUAGUAAACAUAGACUCAUAAGAGUUGGAGGGAGCAUUAUAGUUCCUGCAGAAAAAUCUGGAGAUGAUGCAUCCCCAACAGAUGACUGCCCGAUCUCUGUUUGAAGAUCUCUAGGGUGUGAGAGCCCCCCCCCCUGUGCCAAGUAACUGGUUCCAUUGCUGAACUGUUCUUAGUUAAGAAGUUUCUCCUAAUGGAAUUUUCCCUCUUGUAGCUUAAGCCCUGUUAAAUCUAAUCCUAGGGGAGCCAUGUGUCCUACUUUACAGAGGACAAUCCUCUAUUCUGAAGGGACUAUCAGAUGACAGUCCUCUAUUUGAUGGGCUGCCCAAUCCAAGUCUGGUGGACAAGGAACCACUUUACACUCUUGAAGCACUCUACACUGUUUUGGUUCCUCUGUGUAUUUUGCAUCUCGUACCUAGUCUAUUGCCAAGCCUUAAGCAAUUCCACCCAGAGCCAAAUUCGCCAUGUUCUGUCUCCCACCUUGAACCUGAUAUCCACCAAGAAACACAGGACACUAAGUAGCCAAUUUGGGUACUUUUCCCUACAACCUGAACCAGUGCAUGGCUGCGACAAUGGACUGGAAGAGGGCUAAUAAACUGAGGCUCAAUCCAGACAAGACUGAGAUGCUGCUAGUAGGUGGUUCUUCUGACCAGAUGGUGGAUGUCCAACCUGUCCUGGAUGGGAUUGCACUCCCCCUGAAGGAGCAGGUUCGUACCUUAGGGGUUCUCCUAGAACCAUCUCUGUCACUUGAGUCUCAGGUAGCCUCAGUGGCACGGAAAGACUUCUACCAACUUUGGUUGGUGGCCCAGCUACGCCCCUAUCUGGACAGGGAUAACCUGGCUUCAGUUAUCCAUGCUCUGGUAACCUCCAAGUUAGAUUACUGCAAUGCGCUCUGCGUGGGGUUGCCUUUGAAGACAGUUCGGAAGCUGCAGCUUGUGCAAAAUGCAGCGGCCAGAUUGGUAACAGAGACCAGACGGUUCGAACGUAUAAAACCGAUUCUGGUCUGCUUGCAUUGUCUGCCUGUAUGUUUCCGAGCUGGAUUCAAGUGCUGGUUUUAACCUAUAAAGCCUUACAUGGCUUAGGACCACAAUACCUGAUGGACCGCCUCUCCUGACGUGAACCCACCCAUACACUACGCUCAACAUCCAAGGCCCUCCUCUGGGUGCCUCCUCUGCAGGAAGCUGGGAGUCUGGCAACAAGGGCCUUCUCAGUGGUGGCCUCCAAAUUAUGGAAUGAUUUGUCUGAUGAGGUGUGCCUGGCGCCAACACUAUUAUCUUUUCGGCGCCAAUCAAGACUUUCCUCUUCCCCCAGGCAUUUUAGCAU
Molecule: long non-coding RNA, 2883 nt
Organism: Rhineura floridana
Lineage: Eukaryota; Metazoa; Chordata; Lepidosauria; Squamata; Rhineuridae
Exons: 3
Source: RefSeq, a predicted model, not a curated record